This is a long non-coding RNA of Dromiciops gliroides (monito del monte), 684 nucleotides long. RefSeq lists it as uncharacterized. The record is from RefSeq and is a predicted model, not a curated record. NCBI's taxonomy places the organism in Eukaryota, Metazoa, Chordata, Mammalia, Microbiotheria, Microbiotheriidae. The transcript has 3 exons.
GGAACGUUGACCUUUGGGAUGAAAAACAGGGCAGUUGAUUUUGCAGAUGAAAAAACUGAGGUUGAGAAGUUAAGUGACUUGUUUAGGGUCACCCAGUGCCUGAAGUAGGAUUUGAACUCAGUUCUUCUGUGUCCUGCACUCUAAGAAUUGUCUAAUUAUUGGUGGAAGCUGGUAGAACUAAUGAUUCAGGGUUGCUGAGCUGGAUCAGCAAAUGAAUAUUCCAUGACUGAAGUGUUCAGGCAAUCCUGCGCAUACAGAUAUUUCAAAGGUCCUAUCAGAGUUAGAAGCUGACUGGCAGCAGUAAUUGUAGCAUCUUCUGGAAGGGCAUUGGAUGAGUGAAGAUGAGUCUACAAUGAGAAACAUACAGGCAUGAAGUCAAACAAGGAAGAGUGACCCUUAAUGGAAGAGAGCAGUGCUAUCCAUGGACUCUAGAAAGCCACUGACCUUCAGAGCCCAGGAGGGAGCUAAAGAUAAUUUCACAAUGAUGCUACAGAGGGAGAAAAGUAUUUCUGUUGGGAGAAUUUUGAAUUACCCCUUUGUGUUCCCUAUACAGGUGUCUCACUACUAUUAUAUGAAGUUUUGGUUCAUUCUACCCAUAGAUAUCGUAUGUAUUUAUGGAAGAAUGUGACUUAAGCUUGGGGAAAAUGUUUUUUGUACCAAUAGUUCUUACUUUACUUUCUUAAU